This is a long non-coding RNA of Cebus imitator (Panamanian white-faced capuchin), 163 nucleotides long. RefSeq lists it as uncharacterized. The record is from RefSeq and is a predicted model, not a curated record. The transcript is spliced from 3 exons. NCBI's taxonomy places the organism in Eukaryota, Metazoa, Chordata, Mammalia, Primates, Cebidae.
GAAUAAGAUGCCAUCUAGGACUUUCAUAGCUAGAGAGGAGAAAACAAUGCCUGGCUUCAAAGCUUCAAAGGACAGGCUGACUGUCUUAUUAGGGGCUAAUGCAGCUGGUGGCUUUAAGGUGAAGCCAAUUGCUCAUUUUCCAUUCUGAAAAAUCUUAGGACCC